RNAcentral lists this ribosomal RNA (518 nucleotides) under uncultured Glomus. RNAcentral describes it as "SSU rRNA". It matches the Rfam family "Eukaryotic small subunit ribosomal RNA", at positions 562 to 1081 of the family's 1831-position model. Lineage: Eukaryota; Fungi; Glomeromycota; Glomeromycetes; Glomerales; Glomeraceae. The record is from RNAcentral.
UGGUGCCAGCAGCCGCGGUAAUUCCAGCUCCAAUAGCGUAUAUUAAAGUUGUUGCAGUUAAAAAGCUCGUAGUUGAAUUUCGGGAUCAAUAUGUCGGUCGUGCCUUCGGUACGUACUGGUAUCAUUGGUUUCUCCUUUCUGACGAACCAUGAUGUCAUUAAUUUGGUGUUAUGGGGAGUUAGGACUGUUACUUUGAAAAAAUUAGAGUGUUUAAAGCAGGCUUUAGCUUGAAUACAUUAGCAUGGAAUAAUGAAAUAGGACGUUCGAACCUAUUUUGUUGGUUUCUAGGAUCAACGUAAUGAUUAAUAGGGAUAGUUGGGGGCAUUAGUAUUCAAUUGUCAGAGGUGAAAUUCUUGGAUUUAUUGAAGACUAACUACUGCGAAAGCAUUUGCCAAGGAUGUUUUCAUUAAUCAAGAACGAAAGUUAGGGGAUCGAAGACGAUCAGAUACCGUCGUAGUCUUAACCAUAAACUAUGCCGACUAGGGAUCGGAUGAUGUUAAUUUUUUAAUGACUCAUUC